RNAcentral lists this ribosomal RNA (478 nucleotides) under uncultured bacterium. RNAcentral's name for it is "partial 16S ribosomal RNA". It matches the Rfam family "Bacterial small subunit ribosomal RNA", at positions 28 to 507 of the family's 1533-position model. The record is from RNAcentral.
GAUGAACGCUGGCGGCGUGCUUAACACAUGCAAGUCGAACGAGAAGUGAAGACGGAAACCUUCGGGCGGAAGGCUUUAUUUCGAGUGGCGGACGGGUGAGUAACGCGUGGGUAACCUGCCUCAUACAGGGGGAUAACAGUUGGAAACGACUGUUAAUACCGCAUAAGACCACAGCACCGCAUGGUGCGGGGGUAAAAACUCCGGUGGUAUGAGAUGGACCCGCGUUCGAUUAGCCAGUUGGCGGGGUAACGGCCCACCAAAGCGACGAUCGAUAGCCGAUCUGAGAGGAUGACCGGCCACAUUGGGACUGAGACCCGGCCCAAACUCCUACGGGAGGCAGCAGUGGGGAAUAUUGCACAAUGGGGGAAACCCUGAUGCAGCGACGCCGCGUGAGUGAAGAAGUAUUUCGGUAUGUAAAGCUCUAUCAGCAGGGAAGAAAAUGACGGUACCUGAGUAAGAAGCCCCGGCUAACUACGUG